This 432-nucleotide ribosomal RNA is filed under the name uncultured bacterium. RNAcentral's name for it is "partial 16S ribosomal RNA". It matches the Rfam family "Bacterial small subunit ribosomal RNA", at positions 29 to 506 of the family's 1533-position model. The record is from RNAcentral.
AACGAACGCUGGCGGCAUGCCUAACACAUGCAAGUCGAACGAGACCUUCGGGUCUAGUGGCGCACGGGUGCGUAACGCGUGGGAACCUGCCCUUAGGUUCGGAAUAACUCCCCGAAAGGGGUGCUAAUACCGGAUAAUGUCUUCGGACCAAAGAUUUAUCGCCUUUGGAUGGGCCCGCGUUGGAUUAGCUAGUUGGUAGGGUAAAAGCCUACCAAGGCGACGAUCCAUAGCUGGUCUGAGAGGAUGAUCAGCCACACUGGGACUGAGACACGGCCCAGACUCCUACGGGAGGCAGCAGUGGGGAAUAUUGGACAAUGGGCGAAAGCCCGAUCCAGCAAUGCCGCGGGAGUGAUGAAGGCCUUAGGGUUGUAAAGCUCUUUUACCCGGGAUGAUAAUGACAGUACCGGGAGAAUAAGCUCCGGCGAACUCCGU